CCCCUUCUUUCCACGGCACGGUGCACCUUUGCCGGCCGUCGAGCUCGUCAGAAAAUCCAUAAAAAGCUGAACCUCUGUUUUGCCCUGUUUGGCCAGGCAAUCUUCCUCCUCUUUUUCGGCCAUCGACGCCGUCGUUUGCGGCUUCAAACCCUUAGGAUAGGACCCUUACCUCCUAACCUUGAUUCUCUAUGGGUUUUGGCCGUCGGCGACCGACCAAUGAUCGAAAAAUAAAGGUAAGGGGCGGAUUCCUUGUUUUUCUGAUUUUCUCUAAGUUUCUCGCCGGCCGAACCUCGUCGCCAGUCUCUCUUUGCUCUAUCAUCGUCGACCAGACACCGCCGUCCCUCAUCAGAGCUUAAGCCAUCGAGCCCCUUCCCUCUGGUCCUCCCCCUAU
Molecule: long non-coding RNA, 391 nt
Filed under: Elaeis guineensis (African oil palm)
Lineage: Eukaryota; Viridiplantae; Streptophyta; Magnoliopsida; Arecales; Arecaceae
Description: long non-coding RNA (EGUI_LNC015080)
Source: RNAcentral